CUCUUAGAUGUCCGGGGCUGCACGCGCGCUACACUGAAGGAAUCAGCGUGCUAAAACCAUUGUCGAAAGGCAUUGGUAAACCCAUUAAAAUCCUACGUGAUUGGGAUCGGGAAUUGCAAUUAUUUCCCUUGAACGAGGAAUUCCCAGUAAGUGUGGGUCAUAAGCUCGCGUUGAUUACGUCCCUGCCCUUUGUACACACCGCCCGUCGCUGCCCGGGACUGAGCCGUUUCGAGAAAAGCGGGGACUGCUGCUGUCGGGGCUUUCGGGCCUUGGCUUCGGUGGAAACCGCUUUAAUCGCAGUGGCUUGAACCGGGCAAAANUCGUANCA
This 328-nucleotide ribosomal RNA is filed under the name uncultured eukaryote. Its description in RNAcentral is "partial 18S ribosomal RNA". It matches the Rfam family "Eukaryotic small subunit ribosomal RNA", at positions 1470 to 1796 of the family's 1831-position model. The record is from RNAcentral.